RNAcentral lists this non-coding RNA (195 nucleotides) under Halanaerobium praevalens. Lineage: Bacteria; Bacillati; Bacillota; Clostridia; Halanaerobiales; Halanaerobiaceae. The record is from RNAcentral.
AAAUAUUUUAUAUAGAAUGGUGCUUUAACAAUUUGUUAAAGAGAAUAGGGAAUCAGGUUAAAAUCCUGAACGGGCCCGCCACUGUGACUGAUAUUAAAGUCUAGUAUGAUACCACCUUACUCAGAAUAGGGAAGGUUAUAGAUCUUUAAGUUUUAACUCAGGAGUCAGGAGACCUGCCAUUUAUAUAUAAUCUAC